UGAGUGCGAGCUGCUACGGCAGCGAAGUUGGUGAUGUCAUGCUUCCAAGAAAAGCCCUAUACCCGUUAAGGCAUCAUGGCCUGUACCCGAAACCGACACAGGUGGGGUGGUAGAGAAUACCGAGGGGCGCGAGGUAACUCUCUCUAAGGAACUCGGCAAAAUGGCCCCGUAACUUCGGGAGAAGGGGUGCCACCGCAAGGUGGUCGCAGUGAAGAGGCCCAGGCGACUGUUUACCAAAAACACAGGUCUCCGCUAAGUCGCAAGACGAUGUAUGGGGGCUGACGCCUGCCCAGUGCCGGAAGGUUAAGGAAGCUGGUCAGCGCAAGCGAAGCUAGCGACUGAAGCCCCGGUGAACGGCGGCCGUAACGAUAACGGUCCUAAGGUAGCGAAAUUCCUUGUCGGGUAAGUUCCGACCCGCACGAAAGGCGUAACGAUCUGGGCGCUGUCUCGGAGAGAGGCUCGGCGAAAUAGAAUUGUCUGUGAAGAUGCGGACUACGUGCACCCGGACAGAAAGACCCUAUGAAGCUUUACUGUAGCUUGGUAUUGUGCCCGGGCUCGCAAUGCGCAGGAUAGGUGGGAGGCUUUGAUCAUCGGCUUGCGGGUCGAUGUGAGCCAACGGUGAGAUACCACUCUUUGCGAGCUAGGGUUCUAACGGCCACCCGUCAUCCGGGGGCCGGACAGUACCUGGUGGGCAGUUUGACUGGGGCGGUCGCCUCCUAAAAGGUAACGGAGGCGCGCAAAGGUUUGCUCAGGCUGGUUGGAAAUCAGCCGACGAGUGUAAAAGCAGAAGCAAGCUUGACUGUGAGACCAACAAGUCGAACAGGGAGGAAACUCGGCUUUAGUGAUCCGACGGUUCUGAGUGGAAGGGCCGUCGCUCAACGGAUAAAAGUUACUCUAAGGAUAACAGGCUGAUCUCCCCCAAGAGUUCACAUCGACGGGGAGGUUUGGCACCUCGAUGUCGGCUCAUCGCAACCUGGGGCUGAAGUCGGUCCCAAGGGUUGGGCUGUUCGCCCAUUAAAGCGGUACGCGAGCUGGGUUCAGAACGUCGUGAGACAGUUCGGUCCAUAUCCGGUGCACGUGCAGGAAUAUUGAGAGGAUUUCUCCCUAGUACGAGAGGACCGGGAGGAACGCACCUCUGGUGUACCAGUUAUCGUGCCAACGGUAAACGCUGGGUAGCCAUGUGCGGAGUGGAUAACCGCUGAAAGCAUCUAAGUGGGAAGCCCACCUCAAGAUGAGUAUUCCCAUGGCGUAAGCCAGUAAGGUCACGGGAAGAACACCCGUUGAUAGGCUCUAUGUGGAAGCGCAGUAAUGCGUGAAGCAGAGGAGUACUAAUAGACCGAGGGCUUGA
Molecule: ribosomal RNA, 1348 nt
Filed under: metagenome
Description: bacterial LSU rRNA
Rfam family: Bacterial large subunit ribosomal RNA
Source: RNAcentral